Hippocampus comes (tiger tail seahorse) is the source of this 468-nucleotide long non-coding RNA. RefSeq lists it as uncharacterized. The transcript is spliced from 3 exons. The record is from RefSeq and is a predicted model, not a curated record. Lineage: Eukaryota; Metazoa; Chordata; Actinopteri; Syngnathiformes; Syngnathidae.
AACUACUGUAGUCAGGAAGCUGAUUUAUACCUCCAUUGAAUCCUUAGCAAAUGUGAUUUUUGGGACGUCUAUUUCUGCGAAUAAAAUGAAUUAUUGAUUAUGUACACACCUAUUAUAUAAUGAGGAUGACGUAACUGUACCUGAAACAAGGUUGGAUGCAAAAAAUAUAUAAAAAAAGAAGUUCAGUAACGAGGUCUUAAAUAUAAAUAUGUCCCAAAGCUUCAGUUAAAACAAUAAAAAUACAUUACCACAACCGUUUAACUUUACUGCAGUUACUCUAUUCUUACUCAAGGUGGCACAAUGGGCACCUGGUUAGCACAGCCCAUUUCCAAGGCAGAGGUGGUGGGUUCAAAUCCAGGCUCUGGCCUAAGUGUAUGAAAUUUGCAUGUUCUUCUGGUACCGGGUACUCUGAUUUCCUCCCACAUUCCAAAACCUGCAUGGUAGGUUCAUUAAAGACUCUAAACUGGC